Molecule: ribosomal RNA, 196 nt
Filed under: uncultured bacterium
Lineage: Bacteria
Description: partial 16S ribosomal RNA
Rfam family: Bacterial small subunit ribosomal RNA
Source: RNAcentral
ACGCUCGACACCUACGGAGGCAGCAGUGGGGAAUAUUGCACAAUGGAGGAAACUCUGAUGCAGCGAUGCCGCGUGAGGGAAGAAGGUUUUCGGAUUGUAAACCUCUGUCUUUGGGGACGAUAAUGACGGUACCCAAGGAGGAAGCUCCGGCUAACUACGUCNCACAGCCGCGGUAAUCUGAGCGGGCUGGCAAGGC